This 365-nucleotide ribosomal RNA is filed under the name Hymenodora glacialis. RNAcentral describes it as "partial 12S ribosomal RNA". Lineage: Eukaryota; Metazoa; Arthropoda; Malacostraca; Decapoda; Hymenodoridae. The record is from RNAcentral.
UGUUAUACAUUGUUUAGAAUUUUUAUAGCUAGAGGGAAAAGUUAUGAUCUUUGAAUUCAAAGGACUUGGCGGUGUUUUAGUCGCGUUAGGGGAACCUGUUUUAGAAUCGAUGUACCUCGUUACAUCUUACUUUCUUAGGAUUAGUUUGCAUACCGCCAUUAUCAGGUGUCUACCAAAGAAGCUACUGCAAUGGUUUUAUAAACAUUAAACAUAAAAAUUAGGUCAACGUACAGCUUAUGGGAAAUUGUCAAAAUGGGUUACAGUGUUUUACAAACAUACGGAGGUAAAUUUGGAAUAGAUGCCGUAAGGUGGACUUAAUAGUAAUGAGAUUUUAACAUGUUUUCAUGAGUAUCGCUCUAGGACAU